UACGUAGGGUGCAAGCGUUAUCCGGAAUUAUUGGGCGUAAAGAGCUCGUAGGCGGUUUGUCGCGUCUGCUGUGAAAACUGGAGGCUCAACCUCCAGCCUGCAGUGGGUACGGGCAAACUAGAGUGCGGUAGGGGAGAUUGGAAUUCCUGGUGUAGCGGUAAUGCGCAGAUAUCAGGAGGAACACCGAUGGCGAAGGCAGAUCUCUGGGCCGUAACUGACGCUGAGGAGCGAAAGCAUGGGGAGCGAACAGG
Molecule: ribosomal RNA, 251 nt
Filed under: uncultured bacterium
Lineage: Bacteria
Description: partial 16S ribosomal RNA
Rfam family: Bacterial small subunit ribosomal RNA
Source: RNAcentral